AGGACGAACGCUGGCGGCGUGCCUAACACAUGCAAGUCGAACGGGGUCCAUGAGAGCUUGCUCUCGGAAGACCUAGUGGCGAACGGGUGAGUAACACGUGAGAAACCUGCCUCGGAGUGGGGAAUAACUCGGGGAAACUCGAGCUAAUACCGCAUACCUUCAGAUGAUCGCAUGGUCGACUGAAGAAAGAAUUUCGCUCUGAGAGGGUCUCGCGGCCUAUCAGCUUGUUGGUGGGGUAACGGCCCACCAAGGCAACGACGGGUAGCUGGAUUGAGAGAUCGAUCAGCCACACUGGAACUGAGACACGGUCCAGACUCCUACGGGAGGCAGCAGUGGGGAAUCUUGCGCAAUGGGCGAAAGCCUGAACCGCAGCAACGCCGCGUGCGGGAUGACGGCCUUCGUGGUUGUAAACCGCUUUCAGCAGGGACGAAAAUGACGGUACCUGCAGAAGAAGCCCCGGCUAACUACGUGCCAGCCGCCGC
Molecule: ribosomal RNA, 482 nt
Filed under: uncultured bacterium
Lineage: Bacteria
Description: bacterial SSU rRNA
Rfam family: Bacterial small subunit ribosomal RNA
Source: RNAcentral